UCGUAACAAGGUUUCCGUAGGUGAACCUGCGGAAGGAUCAUUGUCGAGAGAGCAUCGAAUGAUGGAUGAUUGCGAACGUGUCAACGUGCUCCUUUCCUUGCCUCAUGUUGCUGGGCAAUCGAUCGUAGCUCGGUGCGAUCGGCACCAAGGAACAAUGAACUCAGAAGCAGAGGGCCCUCGGCGUGCAUGGGGAGCCCAAUGCAUCGAAGAUGCCUCAGAAUCAAAUGACUCUCGGCAAUGGAUAUCUCGGCUCUUGCAUCGAUGAAGAACGUAGUGAAAUGCGAUACUUGGUGUGAAUUGCAGAAUCUCGUGAACCAUUGAGUCUUUGAACGCAAGUUGUGCCCGAGGCCUUGUGGUCGAGGGCACGCCUGCUUGGGCGUCAUGGCAUCGUCGCCUUUGCUCCUUGCUUUGCCGCCGGUGCUAAGCGCGGAAAUUGGCCUUGUGUGCCCUCGCCCGAGGGCACAGUCGGUCGAAGAGUGGGUAGUCGAUAGUCGUCGGGCGCGAUGGGUGUUGGUCGCCUCGUGCGUGAACUAAACGUCAUCCCCGUCGUGCUGAGAUGAGUCCUCAUGAGACCUUUUGCGAUUGCGAUGUCAAGCGAAAGCGAUGUCGGUCGGAUUGUGGCCCCAAGUCAGGCGAGGCCCACCCGCUGA
RNAcentral lists this ribosomal RNA (650 nucleotides) under Alpinia nigra. Its description in RNAcentral is "eukaryotic LSU rRNA". The stretch from base 227 to 382 matches the Rfam family "5.8S ribosomal RNA". Lineage: Eukaryota; Viridiplantae; Streptophyta; Magnoliopsida; Zingiberales; Zingiberaceae. The record is from RNAcentral.